This 250-nucleotide ribosomal RNA is filed under the name uncultured bacterium. RNAcentral's name for it is "partial 16S ribosomal RNA". It matches the Rfam family "Bacterial small subunit ribosomal RNA", at positions 526 to 779 of the family's 1533-position model. The record is from RNAcentral.
CAGAGGUCCCAAGCGUUGUUCGGAUUCACUGGGCGUAAAGGGUGCGCAGGUGGGUUUGCAAGUUCGAUGUGAAGCCCCGGGCUUAACCCGGGAAUGGCAUUGGAUACUGCAGAUCUGGAGGAUCGGAGGGGACUGGAAUUCUUAGUGUAGCAGUGAAAUGCGUAGAUAUCAAGAGGAACACCAGUGGCGAAGGCGAGUCCCUGGACGAUACCUGACACUGAGGCACGAAAGCUAGGGAGCAAACAGGAUU